Long non-coding RNA from Daphnia pulex (common water flea), 682 nucleotides. RefSeq lists it as uncharacterized. The record is from RefSeq and is a predicted model, not a curated record. The transcript is spliced from 4 exons. Lineage: Eukaryota; Metazoa; Arthropoda; Branchiopoda; Diplostraca; Daphniidae.
GGACUCACGGAAAGAGAAAAAGAAAAUAGCGCGCGUGAACCGCAACAUGUACAUAUAAAAGUUAACUAUCUCCGCGCAGCAGCAGAAGAGCCAUGUUCCGCUAUAACCGAGUCAAACCAUUUCGGUCGGUUUCUUCUUCUUCUUUUUCCAGCACUUUCCUCGUUUUCACGCGGAACCCGCCACCAGCAGCAGCAGCAGACGGUGAACAGCAGCAGCAGCAGUCGAGGAAAAACCCGAUGAAGAGUGUGACGUGACCGACCGUCGUCGUGUCAUCAUCGGCACCACAAACCGCGCAACCCAUUCUCCCUGCUGACUGCUGCUGCUAUACAGCGAAGUCUGCUAUCAAUUAAAAAAAGUAUAUUGGAUAUCUUUUUUUUGUCUGGCCGGAAGGCGAGAGUCAAUCACUGCGUGACUUGUGCGUUCGGCACCGGUUCAUUCCACUUUUUCUUCUUGUUAUAUUUCCUUUUGGUUGUUUCCUGAAUGGUUAUAACCAAGGGGGGACAAUGUCUACGACCUUAUUAUUACGACAUCACUUUCUAACCUCAAUUAUAACUGAACAAUGCUAUAUCUCUUUUUACUUUUAGAUCUAGUAUAUUACAGCCUAUACCAGCUGUAUAUAUAUAUAAUUUGGUGUGUGUAUACUAGAUAUCCAGACGGCUAAUACAGUUAUGAUAAUUCGUCA